CCACUCACUGAUUGUGAAGUGGUCUCUUACAUCUUGGCUGGGCUUAGCUCAGAGUAUGAUUCUUUUGUCACCACUGUGACAGCCAGAAUUGAUCCAAUAUUGCUUGAGGAGCUCUAUGGUCAUCUUCUGACUUUUGAGU
This is a small nucleolar RNA of Alnus glutinosa, 139 nucleotides long. RefSeq annotates it as small nucleolar RNA Z247. The record is from RefSeq and is a predicted model, not a curated record. NCBI's taxonomy places the organism in Eukaryota, Viridiplantae, Streptophyta, Magnoliopsida, Fagales, Betulaceae. The transcript has a single exon.